RNAcentral lists this ribosomal RNA (490 nucleotides) under uncultured bacterium. RNAcentral describes it as "partial 16S ribosomal RNA". It matches the Rfam family "Bacterial small subunit ribosomal RNA", at positions 30 to 507 of the family's 1533-position model. The record is from RNAcentral.
AUUGAACGCUGGCGGCAUGCUUUACACAUGCAAGUCGGACGGCAGCACAGAGAAGCUUGCUUCUUGGGUGGCGAGUGGCGAACGGGUGAGUAACAUAUCGGAACGUACCGAGCAGUGGGGGAUAACUAAUCGAAAGAUUAGCUAAUACCGCAUAUUUUCUGAGGAAGAAAGCAGGGGACCUUUGGGCCUUGCGCUGUUUGAGCGGCCGAUAUCUGAUUAGCUAGUUGGUGGGGUAAAGGCCUACCAAGGCGACGAUCAGUAGCGGGUCUGAGAGGAUGAUCCGCCACACUGGGACUGAGACACGGCCCAGACUCCUACGGGAGGCAGCAGUGGGGAAUUUUGGACAAUGGGCGCAAGCCUGAUCCAGCCAUGCCGCGUGUCUGAAGAAGGCCUUCGGGUUGUAAAGGACUUUUGUCAGGGAAGAAAAGGGCGGGGUUAAUACCCCUGUCUGAUGACGGUACCUGAAGAAUAAGCACCGGCUAACUACAUG